GGGGGAGAUCCACGCUGCAGAGGUCAAAGAGACAACGCUUAAACCAUAUAAUCUGGGACCCCAGACCCUGUCCCCUGAGUUGCAACGGUCGCUGGCCUCAGCUCCUCUCUCCUGAUCUGCCCCAGCAGAGGGCAAUGCCCCCCCCCCCACCUCUGCCUGCCAAGAGCCCUGCUGAACUCUGGCCUGAGACAACUGUACCAGGAGCUCCAGCCUCCCUAACUUUAACCCCAGUUUGUCGUCACAACUGAAAAGGGACUGAAGUUGUCCUGAGCGUGACUUUCCUUCCAGAAGAACACAUCAGCCUCUUCUAUUUGGAUGAAAAGACUUUGGGAACCACAUGACUUGGUCAGAGCCGACCGCACGGCACCUCUCAGUGUUUAAAACCUUGAGGAAGGCUUAACAGCAGAGUAUCUGAGGUCAGAGGCGAGCAGAAUGAAUUAAUGACUCUUGUCCAAAACUUGCCCACCUCUGAGUGGGACAGGAAAGGGCUUUCCUCCCAGAAGUUAAUGUGAAGAUCCUGUGGUCGGUCGCCAGCUUCCUUCGGCUGAGUCCUCUCAGCCGGCCCUGCACACUGACUGGAGAACCUGUGUCAAUGAGCCUGUGUCACACUGCUGCAGGCCAGAUCCACCUUUGCAAUACCACACCAUCCCCGUGUACAGCACCUUCGGCCUGCACCCGCUGAAUUUAGCUGAGUGACUUUCAUCCUAGUCAGUCGAUGUCCAGCGUAAACACCGCCCCGCCAGCAAGACGGAACUCCCUAUCAAACACCACAUCUGGCCCCGGCACAUCUAAACUGCUUGCUACACUCCCUGUGCUGGCUUUGCCUUCCCAAGACAUCUGAUGGCUUUUACUCUCACCUGCCCUAACUUCCACUCCACCCUUUUCUCUUGCAAUGCCAUUUGUGCUCCACGGUCAGUGGAAACCACACGGCCAAAGCCUCACUCUUCCUUUGACCUGUCACAGCAGGGGGUCCUGGUCCUGUGAUUUCCUCUGUAGAUUCCCUGCAUGUUUAUCUACUUCUCUUUCACUGGUCGAACUCCAUGAGGACAGCAGCCAGGUCCCCUGCCUUUCACACAGCUCACCGGGUCAGUUUCAAUGCGACUUUAUAACCGGAGAGAGCUCAAGAUGGGAUACUGGCCUGAGAGACUCCACCCCACUCAAUGAGACCCCAAUAAAAAGCUUUGCAGAGCACCUGGCUCUGAGUCCUCUUAUCUGAAGUGGACUAAAAACAUAAACAUCACCUUGGCUCUUGGAGAUUUUUAUAUUCAAUACUUUCCAGCCACUCAGCUAUUGCAGACGACUAGAUGACCUUCCUUGUCUAAUCAAGUGAGAGGCUCCUAUAUUAAAACUCAAUGGCAAAUGCUCAGCUUGACUCCAUGUCUUUGAGACACGGAAGGAAGUGUCCUUUGCAGUGAUAAGCCACAGGGUGUAACUCGCUGAGACCACGUGAGGAGCUGAUGAACGAGAAGUCCAGCCUGUUUAAAUGCUAGUGAGCAAACCGCAGGAGAGCUCUGAGAUCGGGCACACAUCUCAGUAGUGAGGGCCUCCCCCAGGAAUCACUUUUUCUUGAUGGUCUUGUGUGCUGGCUACACGUGAGUUCGUUUUGGAAGAAGGACUCUCAGUUGAGAAGAUGUUCUCACCAGGAUGGCUUGAGGGCAACCGUGUGGCAGCUGUCAGUCAUGGUGAUUUAUGACUGCAACCUCAACUAAGACAUCCUGUUCCAGGAUCAAAAGUGGAGGUAAAGCUGUCUAGUCUUCGGGAUGACCUGCAGAGAGAAACAGUAGCAGCAUCAAGGCAGAGGGAUGAGUAAACUCAGAAGUGGCCCUAGCUUUCCAGGUCACAUGGCCUCCAAUGAGUUCCAGCCUCACUAAGACCGUUUCCUCACCACUUCAAGGGAGGGGUAGUGAUCAUCUGAUAAACACAGAGUGAACAUCAGACAAGAGCCAGACGAGAGCACCAGAGUCAUUUCUCCGUAGUCUUGGCUGUGGCUGUGCUCACUAGCGGGAGGGGAGGUGAGAGCCGCUGCUCAGAAUGAGGGAAGAUCCCCCAGGUCCAGGAGCAGAAGAGCGAGCCCUCCCUGGGGGACUCAGGACCAAGCUGUUGAAUUGUUUAAAAAGCUUUGACAAAGCCGAGGAAGGGUAGAGGCAAGAUACCCGGUAAGAAAGUUUCAUUGCCUUUUACAAUGAUAAUUCCCAUUGUGUUAUCUAGAUCCAUUAUCCCAUUAGACCCUCAAAGCAACUCCAGGGAAGGAUAAAAGGAAAAGAUCAUGCCUGAUUCAUGGAUUAUGGAAUCCAUGAGCGGGUGAAGCCAUUUGACUGAGGCAGUUGGAAUCCAACAGACAUUUUUUCAAGAAAACCUUGGUGGAGAGAAGUGGGGAGAAAGAUACGCAUUUCUCCCACCAGCUGGAGGAGCGCCAUCUGCUGCUCUACACCCCCAGGCCUACAGCUCUCCUCAGGUCUACAAGGACGGACAUUCUCCCCUGCACAUGGAGUGCAGAGGGUUCCCCACUCCGUUGCUCAUCUCUAAACUGGAAAGUUCCGGUUUCUCUGGAGACUCAGUUGUGUCCUGUGAUGUUUCUCUGGAAGCUGUCUUACGAAAGACCGUGUAACGUUUUGUGGGAGCGGACAGUUGAGAGGGCAGGUGAUGCUUAGGAAGAAGAUAACUCCACAGACAGUGAGAGGACGCUCUUGCACUGGUUCACCUUGCAACGCUUUGCUGGUCUUGACUGAUCUCUACUUGUAAUUUCAUGGAGAGGAACUCGCCAAAGAACUUCUCGUGGUGUUCCGGUUGCUUCUUGCCACUUCUGACUGGAGCUGAUUCAGCGGGGCCUCAUUGUUUCUUCUGGGUUGAGCUGCUGCCACUGACUUGUGUUUGGUGUUUGUGACUGGACUGGACUAUGGCCUCUGAUUCGUGUUUGGAAUCACCCCCCAAAGAACUACUUAUAAAUACCCACAUUUUUCAUUUUCUAUUAACCUUUCUUCGUUCCUAACUUCGGUCGGUGGGCUAGAAAGGAAGUUAAAGCAUUUAAGAACCCGUAUCACAGUAGGCUUUGAACACCCUAAACCUACACACCCCUCCCUCCAUCGGUGUCUCCUCUCACCUCACCAUAAUUGGAACUCCAGGGCGGACGCCUUAGCACUUGUCCUAGAGCGAGGCUCUUUCCCAUGGUGCUUCCUGUCGCUGAUGGUGACCGUGUGUUGACGAGUGCAUGUUUUAGCUGGGUCCGUCUGUCCCAACCCAUAGGAACAUCAACGGAGACCCCGGAGAGGGGAGUGGGAUGGAUGGGACAAGAGGAGCAAGAAAUGGAGACAAGACAGUAUUCUGAUCAAGUCUCAUUUAAACAAGCAAAAAUCACUUGCUUAUCAGCAGAAAAAUCACACAACACAGACUGGUUUUCAGGGUAAUGAUAAGAAAAACAUACGUCACAUCAGAAACCGAUGGCAUAAGUUUUGAUUUCCCAAAAACUUUUUAUUUACAAUAAGCUUCAAUUUCCUGAAGUUCUAACUAACAAUAGAGUGAAACUAAUUCUUGUGUAGAUGCAAGCUACCAGGAAGUCUCCAGUAUUCUUGGUUGGUGGUAACCCCCACGUACAUUACUUGGAAACAAGGGCCCAUGAAGCGGAAAACACCCAGCUCAGGGAAAGAGAGGCAUAAGCAGGCCGGGUGACCCCCGACAGCCAUCAGCAGAGGUAACUCCUAGGAGGUACAUCUCAUCUAUCCUUCCUCCUGUGUGUUUCCAGUGUGUGGCAUCCAAUGAACAUUUAUUUGGAGAGUGAAUCUGUGAGAUGUGUGUCUAUGGGGCAGGCCUCGGUCCUCCUGCCAUGCACCACAGCCAGCGACGUUCCCAGUAAGAACCUGGCCAGAAGGGACUCUUGCAGUCUAUGCACGGUUUAAUUUUUUUAUGAAGUGAGUUAUUCUGGUGAUCAGAACAGGCUAAAAGUAAAUUUUCAAGUCUGCCAAAA
This is a non-coding RNA of Rattus norvegicus (Norway rat), 3961 nucleotides long. The record is from RefSeq and is a predicted model, not a curated record. Lineage: Eukaryota; Metazoa; Chordata; Mammalia; Rodentia; Muridae.